This 467-nucleotide ribosomal RNA is filed under the name uncultured bacterium. RNAcentral describes it as "partial 16S ribosomal RNA". It matches the Rfam family "Bacterial small subunit ribosomal RNA", at positions 28 to 506 of the family's 1533-position model. The record is from RNAcentral.
GACGAACGCUGGCGGCGUGCUUAACACAUGCCAGUCGAACGGAAAGGCCCUGCUUUUGUGGGGUGCUCGAGUGGCGAACGGGUGAGUAACACGUGAGUAACCUGCCCUUGACUUUGGGAUAACUUCAGGAAACUGGGGCUAAUACCGGAUAGGAGCUCCUGCUGCAUGGUGGGGGUUGGAAAGUUUCGGCGGUUGGGGAUGGACUCGCGGCUUAUCAGCUUGUUGGUGGGGUAGUGGCUUACCAAGGCUUUGACGGGUAGCCGGCCUGAGAGGGUGACCGGCCACAUUGGGACUGAGAUACGGCCCAGACUCCUACGGGAGGCAGCAGUGGGGAAUAUUGCACAAUGGGCGGAAGCCUGAUGCAGCAACGCCGCGUGCGGGAGGACGGCCUUCGGGUGGUAAACCGCUUUCGCCUGUGACGAAGCGUGAGUGACGGGAAUGGGUAAAGAAGCACCGGCUAACUACGU